GAUCCUGCUCAGGAUGAACGCUAGCUACAGGCUUAACACAUGCAAGUCGAGGGGCAUCAGGAAGAAAGCUUGCUUUCUUUGCUGGCGACCGGCGCACGGGUGAGUAACACGUAUCCAACCUGCCCUUUACUCGGGGAUAGCCUUUCGAAAGAAAGAUUAAUACCCGAUGGCAUAAUGAUUCCGCAUGGUUUCAUUAUUAAAGGAUUCCGGUAAAGGAUGGGGAUGCGUUCCAUUAGGUUGUUGGUGAGGUAACGG
Molecule: ribosomal RNA, 255 nt
Filed under: uncultured bacterium
Lineage: Bacteria
Description: partial 16S ribosomal RNA
Rfam family: Bacterial small subunit ribosomal RNA
Source: RNAcentral